Molecule: ribosomal RNA, 356 nt
Filed under: uncultured bacterium
Lineage: Bacteria
Description: bacterial SSU rRNA
Rfam family: Bacterial small subunit ribosomal RNA
Source: RNAcentral
GUACGCUAUUCAGAGUUUGAUCCUGGCUCAGGACGAACGCUGGCGGCGUGCUUAAUACAUGCAAGUCGAGCGAGGUUACUGCAUCAGAUUCCUUCGGGAUGAAGAGGCUUUAACCUAGCGGCGGACGGGUGAGUAACGCGUGGGUAACCUACCCUAGAGAUCGGGAUAACAGCGGGAAACUGCUGCUAAUACCGGAUGUCUCUACGAGAAGGCAUCUUUUAGUAGAGAAAGCGAUAGCGCUCUAGGAUGGGCCCGCGUCCCAUUAGCUAGUUGGUGAGGUAACGGCUCACCAAGGCGACGAUGGGUAGCCGGCCUGAGAGGGUGGACGGCCACACUGGGACUGAGACACGGCCCAG